This 235-nucleotide ribosomal RNA is filed under the name uncultured bacterium. RNAcentral describes it as "partial 16S ribosomal RNA". It matches the Rfam family "Bacterial small subunit ribosomal RNA", at positions 99 to 334 of the family's 1533-position model. The record is from RNAcentral.
CGGACGGGUGAGUAACGCGUGGGUAACCUGCCUCAUACAGGGGGAUAACAGUUAGAAAUGGCUGCUAAUACCGCAUAAGACCACAGUACUGCAUGGUACAGUGGUAAAAACUCCGGUGGUAUGAGAUGGACCCGUGUCUGAUUAGGUAGUUGGUGAGGUAACGGCCCACCAAGCCGACGAUCAGUAGCCGACCUGAGAGGGUGACCGGCCACAUUGGGACUGAGACACGGCCCAG